CUCAGUUUUAAAACGGCUUCGUUUGAACAACACGCGAUUACAUUUCUUGCGUUUUCCCGCUGGGUUUUCUACAGUUGUUAAGAAAGACUGUGAACUACGUUAAAUUUCCCCGCAGCAAAAAAAAAAAAAAAUCUUUUGGCCUCGCAACCAGGGUGAUGUACGGUGGGGAAAGGCUCGCUGUAUCCGAGACCCGCAGUGUUUUAUCAGCGUGAAAAUGGGAACCAACGCGCAGAUUUGAUGUAUUGGACGUGAUUAACAUUCCCUGAAUAAUUCAGCAGCUGAUCAUUCUUAGUAAUUUCGACGUCCACGACUCUAAAUGGACCGGCACCAGGCGCCGCUUUCCCCGGUUUACCGGCAAACUCGAGCAGUAUGGCGCCUUAAACUGAAGUUGCGAAGAACAAGAAGGCUACGAGGACUUAGAAUAUUUGAAGUGAAUGUACCUUCGUUUGAACUUUAAGUGAGCGGACUUCAGGGGACCCGAUGGACUCUCCUGACUUGUACAAAGUUUGCACCUGUUUUUGUAUUUUAAACGACUAUUACUUCACCUCUUUGUUGUAAAUAAAGAGUAAAACCAAAAAAACAA
Long non-coding RNA from Xiphias gladius (swordfish), 583 nucleotides. RefSeq lists it as uncharacterized. NCBI's taxonomy places the organism in Eukaryota, Metazoa, Chordata, Actinopteri, Istiophoriformes, Xiphiidae. The transcript has 2 exons. The record is from RefSeq and is a predicted model, not a curated record.